GUGCACAUUUUGGCAGCACAUAUACUAAAACUGGAAGGAUAUGGAGAUUAGCAUGGCCCCAAUGCAAGGACGACAGGUAAAUUCAUGAAGCGUUCUAUUUUCUG
Small nuclear RNA from Lontra canadensis (Northern American river otter), 104 nucleotides. The record is from RefSeq and is a predicted model, not a curated record. NCBI's taxonomy places the organism in Eukaryota, Metazoa, Chordata, Mammalia, Carnivora, Mustelidae.